AGGACCAACGCUGGCGGCGUGUAUUAGGCAUGCAAGUCGAGCGCGAACCCACCUUCGGGUGGGGUAAAGCGGCGGACGGGUGAGUAACACGUGGGAAACCUGCCCUGCAGUGGGGAAUAACGUGCCGAAAGGCACGCUAAUACCGCAUACGACUCCCGGUGAGAAUCCGGGUAGUGAAAGUUCCGGCGCUGCAGGAGGGGCCCGCGGUCGAUUAGCUUGUUGGUGGGGUAAUGGCCUACCAAGGCGACGAUCGAUAGCUGGUCUGAGAGGAUGGUCAGCCACAUGGGGGACUGAGACACGGCCCCCAACUCCUACGGGAGGCAGCAGCUAAGAAUCUUGCGCAAUGGGCGAAAGCCUGACGCAGCAACGCCGCGUGGGGAAGAAGGUCUUCGGAUUGUAAACCCUUUUGCGAGGGAAGAAGUUCUGACGGUACCUCGCGAAUAAGCCACGGCUAACUACGUGCCAGCAGCCGC
This 473-nucleotide ribosomal RNA is filed under the name uncultured bacterium. RNAcentral's name for it is "SSU rRNA". It matches the Rfam family "Bacterial small subunit ribosomal RNA", at positions 26 to 518 of the family's 1533-position model. The record is from RNAcentral.